RNAcentral lists this ribosomal RNA (405 nucleotides) under Phagomyxa sp. RNAcentral describes it as "partial small subunit ribosomal RNA". It matches the Rfam family "Eukaryotic small subunit ribosomal RNA", at positions 587 to 975 of the family's 1831-position model. The record is from RNAcentral. Lineage: Eukaryota; Endomyxa; Phytomyxea; Phagomyxida; Phagomyxidae.
AGCUCCAAUAGCGUAUAUUAAAGUUGUUGCAGUUAAAAAGCUCGUAGUUGUAUUUGAGCGUAUGCUGUUUUCGGCGUCUGCAUUCAAAAGAGUGUAAUGACCCGUGCGGCUUCGCAAUUAACCAUUGGGUCGUGUCUGGUCUUAAUUGACUCGGAUGCGUUUUAUCUCGAUGGAUCUUUUACUGUGAGAAAAGUAGAGUGUUCAAGGCAGGCGUGUUUUGCAAUUGAAUAUGUUAGCAUGGAAUAAUAAGAUAGGACUUUCGGAUCUAUUUUGUUGGUUUCUAGUUUGGAAGUAAUGAUUGAUAGGGAUAGUUGGGGGUGCUAGUAUUCAGCGGCCAGAGGUGAAAUUCAUGGAUUCGCUGAAGACUAACUAAUGCGAAAGCAUUCACCAAGGAUGUCCUCUUUA